AGAUAACAGAUAUUAAACAGAGAGUCACAAAAGGAUUCUAUGAUUGCAACAGACUCCAAUGCUAUGGAAACAGAGUCCAAGGUUCUCUUAGAAUGCAUGACAUGGAGACCUAUUGUAGACUAGGGGAAGGGGUGAAUAUUGUGACAAUGUGUUUCAGUCUGAAGUUUGAGCAGAGCCUGGGUAAGAGGGUGGGAGUGGUGAAUGGGAGAAGAACAUUCUAGAUGGAAGAAACUGUGAGUGGCCAGGCCCUGAGGAUGGAAGGCCAUUGGCAAGUUCCCAGAGGCCCAAAUGCCUGGGGAGUGGUGAGCAAAAAGGAAGGUGGCAGAGACAAAGCUGGAACAGCAGAUGGGCAGACCUUCGUUACCCUCAUGCCCGGCUCACCUCACUAUGGCUGUCUGGAACACACGCCCCUGUGAACUGUCAAUGAGACCCCCCUGGCCUUGUCAUCUUUGAGGUGGGGCAGAUAUUUGAACAAAAAGCUUCACAGAUACCUGGGAUAUGCCCGUCCUCUCCUGCUUGUGUUUGGGCUAACCAAUCUGCUAACGGGAAGAAAUCAGAAAUAUUGCUCAGCUUUUGUUGUGUAUAUUUGAAGGCUUUUCUGGGAUGCUCAAGAGACAGAAAUGCCAUCCCAGAAGUGGACCCUGGGAAAGCUGUGAGAAAAGGUUUCGAGUCUCAGACGGUCCAGGAGCACCCACAUGGUUUUUAGACCGGAAGUUUGAUUCAGCUUUUCAGUCCAAGAGAAAGGCGGUCCCAGCCAGCUCAGGACAGGCUACUCUUUCACUCUGUCAGUGGGCUAAACACUUGAAUGGACAUUUCUCCAAAGAAGAUUCACAAAUGGCCAAGAGUAUAUGAAAAGAUGCUUAGAGUCACUAAUCAUCAGGCAAAUGCAAAUCAAAACCACAAAGAGAUACUACCUUAUGCCUAUCCCUCUACCCUCCUCCCCAACC
Long non-coding RNA from Felis catus (domestic cat), 947 nucleotides. RefSeq lists it as uncharacterized. The transcript has 5 exons. The record is from RefSeq and is a predicted model, not a curated record. Lineage: Eukaryota; Metazoa; Chordata; Mammalia; Carnivora; Felidae.